Molecule: ribosomal RNA, 253 nt
Filed under: uncultured prokaryote
Description: partial 16S ribosomal RNA
Rfam family: Bacterial small subunit ribosomal RNA
Source: RNAcentral
UACGGAGGAUGCAAGCGUUAUCCGGAUUCAUUGGGUUUAAAGGGUGCGUAGGCGGACUAUUAAGUCAGUGGUGAAAGCCUGCAGCUUAACUGCAGAACUGCCAUUGAUACUGAUAGUCUUGAGUUUGGUUAAGGUAGGCGGAAUGUAUAAUGUAGCGGUGAAAUGCUUAGAUAUUACACAGAACACCAAUUGCGUAGGCAGCUUACUGAGCCGACACUGACGCUGAGGCACGAAAGCGUGGGGAUCGACAGGA